GGACGCAAGUCUGAUGGAGCAACGCCGCGUGAGUGAAGAAGGCUUUCGGGUCGUAAAACUCUGUUGUUGGAGAAGAAUGGUCGGCAGAGUAACUGUUGUCGGCGUGACGGUAUCCAACCAGAAAGCCACGGCUAACUACGUGCCAGCAGCCGCGGUAAUACGUAGGUGGCAAGCGUUAUCCGGAUUUAUUGGGCGUAAAGCGAGCGCAGGCGGUUUUUUAAGUCUGAUGUGAAAGCCCUCGGCUUAACCGAGGAAGUGCAUCGGAAACUGGAAAACUUGAGUGCAGAAGAGGACAGUGGAACUCCAUGUGUAGCGGUGAAAUGCGUAGAUAUAUGGAAGAACACC
This 345-nucleotide ribosomal RNA is filed under the name uncultured bacterium. RNAcentral describes it as "bacterial SSU rRNA". It matches the Rfam family "Bacterial small subunit ribosomal RNA", at positions 373 to 710 of the family's 1533-position model. The record is from RNAcentral.